UCUGUUGCACUUUCUGUUGAAUCUAGAGCUGCACAAGACAGGGAGUUAUCACUAAACAAAUGACUGCAAUAGAAGAAAUGGUUGCAAGUGAGUAAAAUUAGCCAGACCCUCAUCUUUGUGACAAGAUCUUGAAGUUAGUCAUUUGUGAAGCGUUCUAGUUUGCUAUUAGUUGCAGUUUUAGUUAUUGCUCUCUCAAUAUAUUCUUUUUCUUUCUUUUUUUUUCAAAGGAUGAUCAGUGUAAUAAUUAAGCUUCAUAAUUUCUGUGUUUGGAUCCAAGUUGUAUAUAAAUGUACACGUUAUUAA
Molecule: long non-coding RNA, 303 nt
Organism: Cucumis melo (muskmelon)
Lineage: Eukaryota; Viridiplantae; Streptophyta; Magnoliopsida; Cucurbitales; Cucurbitaceae
Exons: 2
Source: RefSeq, a predicted model, not a curated record